GCCUCAAUGGUGGUUCCUGUCAGGACAGCGUGGGUUCCUUUUCCUGCUCUUGCCUUCCUGGCUUUGCUGGUCCACGCUGCGCUCGAGAUGUGGAUGAGUGUUUGAGCAGCCCUUGUGGCCCAGGCACCUGCAUAGAUCACGUGGCCUCCUUCACCUGUACCUGUCCACCUGGCUAUGGAGGCUUCCACUGUGAGAAGGACCUGUUGGACUGUAGCCCCAGCUCCUGCUUCAAUGGAGGUACCUGUGUGGAUGGGGUGAACUCCUUCAGCUGCUUGUGCCGUGCUGGCUACACGGGCACCCACUGCCAAUAUGAGGCUGACUCCUGCCUUUCCCGGCCCUGUUUGCAUGGGGGCAUCUGCAGUCCCACCCACUUAGGGUUUCAGUGUGCCUGCCGGGAGGGCUUCACUGGGAGUCAGUGCCAGACCCUGGUAGACUGGUGCAGCCAGGUGCCCUGUCAGAAUGGGGGUCAUUGUGUCCAGACUGGGGCCUACUGUGUCUGUCCCCUGGGAUGGAGCGGCCGCCACUGUGACAUCCAAAGCUUACCCUGCAAGGAGGCUGCAUCCCA
This is a long non-coding RNA of Nannospalax galili (Upper Galilee mountains blind mole rat), 565 nucleotides long. RefSeq lists it as uncharacterized. Lineage: Eukaryota; Metazoa; Chordata; Mammalia; Rodentia; Spalacidae. The record is from RefSeq and is a predicted model, not a curated record. The transcript is spliced from 3 exons.